RNAcentral lists this long non-coding RNA (453 nucleotides) under Musa acuminata (dwarf banana). RNAcentral's name for it is "long non-coding RNA (MACU_LNC002360)". Lineage: Eukaryota; Viridiplantae; Streptophyta; Magnoliopsida; Zingiberales; Musaceae. The record is from RNAcentral.
CAAAACCCACCACUGAGAACAAAAGGAUAAAAACUAGAAGCAAAAUUCACAGUAUGAGUAAAUGCAGUUUUACCUCAGUCUCUGCAUGGAAAUGCUCAAAAAAGUAAGAGGAAACAUCACUGAAUAGUUACCUUCCUCUAAAAACAUGAGCAUGAAUAGACUUGCUAAGGUGGUGAUCAUUCACAGGGAUGCAAAACAGAUGCAGAGGGCUCCUCCUGUUCAUGAUUCUUGAUGGCUUAGAAAAGCUUUGCUCUUAGCACUUGCAAAAGGUUGGAGCAUAGGCAGCUUCCUGUUCAUCAAUUAAGGACCUGAUUGACUAGUUGCAUGAAAUGAGAAGCACAAUGUACUGUCACGUUAACCAGGAAGGUACAGCUUCCAAACCUGAGAUAGUACUGAGGGGUCGCACGAUUACCGACCAUCUUUCUCCAGGCUUUCUUUGCUACCUCAUUUGAG